UACGAGGGGAGCAAGCGUUGUUCGGAUUUACUGGGCGUAAAGGGCGCGUAGGCGGCCACGACAAGUCACUUGUGAAAUCUCCGGGCUUAACUCGGAACGGUCAAGUGAUACUGUCGGGCUAGAGUACAGAAGGGGCAACUGGAAUUCUCGGUGUAGCGGUGAAAUGCGCAGAUAUCGGGAAGAACACCCGUGGCGAAGGCGGCUCUCUGGGACGGUACUGACGCUGAGACGCGAAAAGCGUGGGGAGCGAACAGG
RNAcentral lists this ribosomal RNA (255 nucleotides) under uncultured bacterium. RNAcentral's name for it is "partial 16S ribosomal RNA". It matches the Rfam family "Bacterial small subunit ribosomal RNA", at positions 524 to 776 of the family's 1533-position model. The record is from RNAcentral.